AUGGACCUUGGGCGUCUCAACUAUGGGAUCGUUACCCUCAUCCCCAAGGUCGGUGCCUCCGAUAUCCUCCAGUUUCGGCCUAUCACAAUGAUCAAUGUGAUAUUCUGGAUCCUGACUAAAGGGUACGCCAAUAGGGUGACCCUGCUUGCUGACUUUGUUACCCACCCCAACCAACCCGCCUUCAUUCAAGGCCGAUUUAUUCUGAAUAGGGUGUUGGUCUUCCACGAAGUCCUUCACGAGGUCCGGGUGAAACACCAUCACGCGGUCUUUCUGAAGCUCGACUUCCACAAAGCGCACGACACAGUCCACUGGCCUUUCCUGCGAGAAGUACUGCUCCGCAAGGGCUUCGACGAUCGGUGGGUGACCAAAGUUAUGCAGCUCGUCUCCUGCGGUCAGACCGCUGUGAACAUUAACGGUGAGAUCGGCCCCUACUUCCCCACCCUCUGUUGGGUCUGUCAGGGUGACCCGUUCUCACCGUUCCUGUUUAACAUGGUGGUUGAUGCCCUUGCCGUCAUCCUUGAUAAGGCCAAAGCUGUUGGCCAUAUUCGCGGCAUUGUUCCCCAGCUGGUAGGAGGGCCAGGGGUCUCCCUCCUGCAAUAUGCGGACGAUGCCAUAAUAAUGGUGGAGGGUAUGGUUCAGGACAUUGCUAACGUGAAGUUCCUCCUCCUGUGCUUCCAACAGAUGUCGGGGCUCACAAUCAACUUCGAUAAGAGCGAAGUGAUGAUUCUUGGGUACUCUCCGGCAGAAGCUCCGGAUAUUGCGAACCGACUGAACUGUCGGUUGGGUUCUUUCCCCACGACCUACUUGGGGAUCCCCAUUAGUGAUUCGCGCCUCACCGUGGCUGACCUUCGCCCCACGGUGACCCGGAUGCAACAUCGGGUUGAGCCCUGGAAAGGGCGGUGA
This 903-nucleotide ribosomal RNA is filed under the name Triticum aestivum (bread wheat). Its description in RNAcentral is "partial small subunit ribosomal RNA". The record is from RNAcentral. Lineage: Eukaryota; Viridiplantae; Streptophyta; Magnoliopsida; Poales; Poaceae.